Molecule: ribosomal RNA, 435 nt
Filed under: Clostridioides difficile
Lineage: Bacteria; Bacillati; Bacillota; Clostridia; Peptostreptococcales; Peptostreptococcaceae
Description: bacterial SSU rRNA
Rfam family: Bacterial small subunit ribosomal RNA
Source: RNAcentral
AGUUGCGAAGGCGGCACUCUGGACUGUAACUGACGCUGAGGCACGACAGCGUGGGGAGCAAACAGGAUUAGAUACCCUGGUAGUCCACGCUGUAAACGAUGAGUACUAGGUGUCGGGGGUUACCCCCCUCGGUGCCGCAGCUAACGCAUUAAGUACUCCGCCUGGGAAGUACGCUCGCAAGAGUGAAACUCAAAGGAAUGGACGGGGACCCGCACAAGUAGCGGAGCAUGUGGUUUAAUUCGAAGCAACGCGAAGAACCUUACCUAAGCUUGACAUCCCAAUGACAUCUCCUUAAUCGGAGAGUUCCCUUCGGGGACAUUGGUGACAGGUGGUGCAUGGUUGUCGUCAGCUCGUGUCGUGAGAUGUUGGGUUAAGUCCCGCAACGAGCGCAACCCUUGUCUUUAGUUGCCAUCAUUAAGUUGGGCACUCUAGAGA